Molecule: unclassified non-coding RNA, 145 nt
Filed under: soil metagenome
Description: partial internal transcribed spacer 1
Source: RNAcentral
CCGAGUUACAACUCCCAAACCCCUGUGAACAUACCACUUGUUGCCUCGGCGGAUCAGCCCGCUCCCGGUAAAACGGGACGGCCCGCCAGAGGACCCCUAAACUCUGUUUCUAUAUGUAGCUUCUGAGUAAAACCAUAAAUAAAUC